UACAGGGGUGCAAACGUUGCUCGGAAUCAUUGGGCGUAAAGCGCACGUAGGCGGUCUGUUAUGUCGGAUGUGAAAGCCCUCGGACUUAACUGAGGAAGUGCAUCCGAAACUGGCAGGCUAGAGUACUAAAGAGGGUCGCGGAAUUCCGGUGUAGAGGUGAAAUUCGUAGAUAUCGGGAGGAACACCGGUGGCGAAGGCGGCGACCUGGGUAGAUACUGACGCUGAGGUGCGAAAGCGUGGGGAGCAACA
Molecule: ribosomal RNA, 249 nt
Filed under: uncultured bacterium
Lineage: Bacteria
Description: partial 16S ribosomal RNA
Rfam family: Bacterial small subunit ribosomal RNA
Source: RNAcentral